CCCGCUCAGAAACUCAAAUGAAUUGACGGGGGCCCGCACAAGCGGUGGAGCAUGUGGUUUAAUUCGAAGCAACGCGAAGAACCUUACCUGGGUUUGAACUGCAGUGGAAGACGCCAGAGAUGGCGUCCGCCCCUUCGGGGGCCGCUGUGGAGGUGCUGCAUGGCUGUCGUCAGCUCGUGUCAUGAGAUGUUGGGUUAAGUCCCGCAACGAGCGCAACCCUUGCUCAUAGUUGCCAGCGGUUCGGCCGGGCACUCUAUGGGGACUGCCGGUGAUAAACCGGAGGAAGGUGGGGAUGACGUCAAGUCCUCAUGGCCUUUAUGUCCAGGGCUACACACGUGCUACAAUGGACGGUACAAAGAGUUGCGAUCCCGCGAGGGGGAGCUAAUCUCAAAAAGCCGUUCUCAGUUCGGAUUACAGUCUGCAACUCGACUGUAUGAAGCUGGAAUCGCUAGUAAUCGCGGAUCAGCAUGCCGCGGUGAAUACGUUCCGGGCCUU
RNAcentral lists this ribosomal RNA (495 nucleotides) under uncultured Holophagae bacterium. RNAcentral's name for it is "bacterial SSU rRNA". It matches the Rfam family "Bacterial small subunit ribosomal RNA", at positions 888 to 1382 of the family's 1533-position model. Lineage: Bacteria; Pseudomonadati; Acidobacteriota; Holophagae. The record is from RNAcentral.